RNA transcript from Drosophila nasuta, 532 nucleotides. It is a transcript of the gene named histone H4, with no coding region annotated. NCBI's taxonomy places the organism in Eukaryota, Metazoa, Arthropoda, Insecta, Diptera, Drosophilidae. The record is from RefSeq and is a predicted model, not a curated record. The transcript is spliced from 3 exons.
UGAAAAAUGACUGGUCGUGGUAAAGGUGGCAAGGGCUUGGGAAAAGGUGGCGCCAAGCGUCAUCGCAAAGUGUUGCGUGAUAACAUCCAGCAAGAAUUGGCCACACUGUAGACCACAUACGAUCACAUUGUUUCUUUGAGCUGGAUGCUAGAAAGAUAAAAAUGGAGAGGCGCAUUCAAAUUCAAGAAGCGAUUGCCAAAGGGGACGAAAAAUACAAAUUAAUUAACAAUUCGAAAGCCAAAAGUCUUAUUUGGCAGACGUUUAAUUUAAUUGAAUGCUGUGGUGAGAUCCUAAACUUUGUGUGCUGCAAAAAGUGCAAAGUUGUAUUCGCAUACACGCCGAAGACCGGAACCGGCGUAUUAAAUCGUCACAAAUGUGCCGUUCAAGCGGACGCACGCCAACCUACUUUGCCGUCUUUUGUGCAUAAAAAAGUUCCGCAAAAUGUCAUAAAUAACCUGGCCAUCAAACAGUUGGCUUUCGUGGCUAAGGAUUUACAGCCUCUCAGCGUCACCGAAGGCGAAGGAUUCCAGGG